Molecule: ribosomal RNA, 425 nt
Filed under: uncultured bacterium
Lineage: Bacteria
Description: partial 16S ribosomal RNA
Rfam family: Bacterial small subunit ribosomal RNA
Source: RNAcentral
GUGGGGAAUCUUGCGCAAUGGGCGAAAGCCUGACGCAGCCAUGCCGCGUGAAUGAUGAAGGUCUUAGGAUUGUAAAAUUCUUUCACCGGGGACGAUAAUGACGGUACCCGGAGAAGAAGCUCCGGCUAACUUCGUGCCAGCAGCCGCGGUAAUACGAAGGGGGCUAGCGUUGCUCGGAAUUACUGGGCGUAAAGGGCGCGUAGGCGAACAGCUUAGUCAGAGGUGAAAGCCCAGGGCUCAACCUUGGAAUUGCCUUUGAUACUGGCUGUCUUGAGUUUGGGAGAGGUGAGUGGAACUCCGAGUGUAGAGGUGAAAUUCGUAGAUAUUCGGAAGAACACCAGUGGCGAAGGCGACUCACUGGCCCAAUACUGACGCUGAGGCGCGAAAGCGUGGGGAGCAAACAGGAUUAGAUACCCUUGUAGUCC